CCUACGGGGUGCAGCAGUGGGGAAUAUUGGACAAUGGGCGAAAGCCUGAUCCAGCCAUGCCGCGUGUGUGAAGAAGGCCUUCGGGUUGUAAAGCACUUUCAGUGGGGAAGAAAGCCUUGGGGCUAAUACCCUCGAGGAAGGACAUCACCCACAGAAGAAGCACCGGCUAACUCCGUGCCAGCAGCCGCGGUAAUACGGAGGGUGUGAGCGUUAAUCGGAAUUACUGGGCGUAAAGCGCGCGUAGGCGGUCUGAUAAGCCGGUUGUGAAAGCCCCGGGCUCAACCUGGGAACGGCAUCCGGAACUGUCAGGCUAGAGUGCAGGAGAGGAAGGUAGAAUUCCCGGUGUAGCGGUGAAAUGCGUAGAGAUCGGGAGGAAUACCAGUGGCGAAGGCGGCCUUCUGGACUGACACUGACGCUGAGGUGCGAAAGCGUGGGUAGCAAACAGGAUUAGAUACCCGAGUAGUC
This 465-nucleotide ribosomal RNA is filed under the name Vreelandella stevensii. RNAcentral describes it as "partial 16S ribosomal RNA". It matches the Rfam family "Bacterial small subunit ribosomal RNA", at positions 338 to 795 of the family's 1533-position model. The record is from RNAcentral. Lineage: Bacteria; Pseudomonadati; Pseudomonadota; Gammaproteobacteria; Oceanospirillales; Halomonadaceae.